This is a non-coding RNA of Callithrix jacchus (white-tufted-ear marmoset), 8897 nucleotides long. NCBI's taxonomy places the organism in Eukaryota, Metazoa, Chordata, Mammalia, Primates, Cebidae. The record is from RefSeq and is a predicted model, not a curated record.
UCACCGCACCCCUAUGAGGAGGGGCUGCAGCGUCCCAGUACACAGGUGGGUUAGUGGAGGCACAGGGAGGCGGAGGCAGGAGUCCAAACCAGGCCUCCGAUUCCAGGCCUCGACGUCUGCAGGAGAGGUCCUAGGAGCUGUGAUGUCCAGAUGGAGGGGGCUGCCCCAGCCUGGGGCCUCCUUGGGGUGGUCUCUCCUCAUUGGCUCCAGGGGCAAGGAGGAGCCAGUCCGCCGCCUCUCCUCCCAGCCGCUAGAUGGCGCCAGGGGCAGGGAGGAGCCAGUCUGGCGCCUCUCUGCCCGGCCGCUAGAUGGCGCCAGGGGCAGGGAGGCGCGGGGUUCUGGACUGUUCCAUCCGAGGCCCCACCUCCUCCCUCAGGGCAGGUGUGCGGGCACUGGGGCUCCCAAAGGCCAGAGCUUUGAAUUCAGCCGGGGGGGUUUAAGAGGAAGGGCUCAGUUCCCCAUGUCCUACCCGUGAGACCGGCGACAGGCAUCGCUGAGGGCUGCGGCUUUGGAAUCGGGCACCUUCUGAGAAAGAGAAACGGACCACGGGGACAGCGCAGAGGAUGAGAGGCUGUUCCCUCCACGUGGAGUCCCCCCUCCGACCCCCGUCCUCUGCCUCCUGGACACACCUGUCUCCAAAGCACAACAUCAGUGUUGCUUUCUCUGCAGAGUACUGCCAGGUCCUCAAUAUUAUCUCGCAGUGCAUUCUAGCUCUUGAUUACCAGCUGUGAAACUCUAGCUCCACGAAAGAGGCCCUUGGCUGUGACCAGCAAGAAAAGCACCAACUCCAGACUGCAACAUGGCUCACAGUGUUAGCAACAUGGCACAUGGAAAUUUUGACAAGCACAAGUGAGUCCUUUUAGCAUAAACUUCACUGUUAGUUGGCAGAAUUUGCAAAGGUGUGAGAGAGGUCCCCAGAAAGGACCUUGGUGGGAUUGAGGAGUAGAGAUGGGCAGGAGAAAGAAAUCCUGACAAUGUGGACCCAAAGAAAAGGCAACAGCAGGUGAAACAGGGAAGGAAAUAAAGUGGGGAGAGCCCUAUGCACUGCCUUUGCCUGUUCCAGAACUCUUCAGAGAACUGAUCACUGGAGUCUAUUCACACUGAAUUCUUGAGGGACUAACUUAUUGGAUUGCUUGAGGAUCCCACUGCAUUCAACAGUUAAAUUCUUCUUAAUUUAAUUUAAUUUUUUUUUUGAGACGCCGUCUUGCUCUGUUGCCCAGGUUGCAGUGCAGUGGCGUGAUCUUGGCUUACCGCAACCUCCACCCACUGCAACCUCUCCUCCCGGGUUCAAGGUAUUCUCCUGUCUCAGUCUCCCAAGCAUCUGGGAUUACAGGUGCCUGCCACCAUGUCUGGCUAAUUUUUUUGGUAUUUUUAGUAGAGAUGGGGUUUCACCAUGUUGGUCAGGCUGGUCUCAAACUCCUGAUUCAACACUUUAAUUCUAAUGGAGCUCUCCAGUCCUCUACCAAGUGGCCUGGGGAGAGUGGGAACUGGCCAGCCAUAUCCUCAGCUCCCAUGCUCGUGUUUGGGAUACAAGGGAUAUUUACUGUAUCCCACGUGAGGGCUUAUUGCUAGCAAUCAUUCGGUUAAGGGCCACUCCCCUGUGUGCAAAUUCUUCAUUAUUUGGCCCCCGAAAGUUCCUUCGAAAGAUACUAGUCAAAGAAGAGAGUGAAGGUGAUGGGAAGGAAGUGUUGGCUGUUUGCUUCAGACAGGAUGUUAUAGAUCUGAAUACCGAAGGGCCAGGGGAAAAAGGGGAAGGUGAUCUUCUGGGUCCUUACAGCUUCCUUGAAAGAGCAAAGCUGAUGUUAGAGAUGGGAAAAUGCUUUUUAAAGUCCAUCUUGCCUUCUGUGUGUUUCUAAAUUCUGAGAGGUUCAGGUAAGGACUCUGGAUUCCCAGGGAGCAAAGGAAUCAACACCGCACAAUUGCAGCUUUUCAGGGAAGCCUUAAGACAACAAAGCACUCAUUAAUGAAAAAAUAUUUGGUGGCAGACACCUUUAUUUUUGUUUAGUCUUUUGACAGGGUUGGAAUGAGAAGAGUUAUGCGAUAGGGAGAGAAAGCCCUACCUUCAUUUAACUUGCUGUACUCUAUGAGUAUAAUUACCUAUAAGUGUAAUUACAGAGAAGACAAAUGGCAUUUUUAGCUGUGGUCUUAAAGAGGUGAGUUAAUUUCCGACUUUGACCAGAACUAUGUUAAUUAGCCGUGGUGCAGUCUCUCUCUCUCUCUGUCUUUGAGUGGAAGUUCCUCACCCAGGACUGAACGUGGCCUGCUUCCUCUGUACCUUUGAGUAAUGAAAGGACACCACAUGCCAGCCGAAUCAGGGCUGCUGUAUUAAUAAGGCUACUUUGCUGUCCAUUUAUCAUCAAUUAAAGGUGCGCUAGUUUGUAAAGUAACCCCACCUUCGGCCCGGCUACCCAGAAUGGCUCCUCAUUUAUUUUCUGCGUGGUUUCAGUUGGAGUUAGACCCACCUUGCAGCUCAGAGGUGACAGGCGGCAUGAAAAACUACACUAAUUGAGACAUCUCGAGGGAGAAAUAUAAGAAAACUGAAACGGUAAUUAGAAUGAGAGGAUUUCAAGCUGGGUAAGGAAAAUCGAAUGGAGGUGCAUAUUAGGGGCUGUUACAAAUGGGGAGGAAAGUACUUGGUGGGGGAGAGAGAAAUGGAUCUUAGAGUCGAGUGUACCCUUUUAACACUUCAGGGAGAGAGAGGACAUGCAAGAAAAUAUUCAGGGUCAGGUGUGUGGACUUUUAGGAAGGGUGGCCUCGCAUUCAGGCUGCAAGGCAAAGCUACCGCCUUUUCUCUGCAGAGUAGAUGUCUCCCUUGUCACAGAAGAGCUCUGCUGAUAUUUGCAUCCACAGUUAUACUUUCCCUGUAUUGUUUCCAGUCUAAAUGUGCUCAGUUCCUUUCGCUGAGUUUCUGGGGGGUGGGGGACAUGGUUUUAGCUCUUUCCUACCUUGGCCAUCAUCUUGGUGUAGCACCCAGCAUGCGCCCUGGCAUGUGAUCUGACUGUCACACAAAGGAAAUGUCUGUCACCUUUUUUGUCCUGGAACAUGUACCUCUAUAAUGCAUCUCAAGACCAUUUUGGGGGCCGGGUGCGGUGGCUCACGCCUGUAAUCCCAGUACUUUGGGAGGCCGAGGCGGGUGGAUCAUGAGGGCAAGAGAUUGAGACCAUCUGGCCAACAUGGUGAAACCCAGUCUCUACUAAAAAAAAUACAAAAAAUUAGCUGGGCAUGGUGGCGUGUGCCUGUAAUCCCAGCUACUCAGAAGGCUGAGGCAGGAGAAUUGCCUGAACCCAGGAGGCAGAGGUUGCGGUGAGCCGAGAUCGCGCCAUUGCACUCCAGUCUGGGUAACAAGAGGGAAACUCCGUCUCAAAAAAAAAAAAACAAAACCAUUUUGAUUUCUUCAGCAGCUACAUCACACUAACCAUCCGCGUCGAUUUCUAUUCACUGUUAAUUCGGUCCUGUGAUGUGCUGGGCACCAGGGAUAGCACGGUGGGCAAGACAGAUGUGGCCCUUACCUGCAUGGAGUUCACAGUGUGGCGAGCAAGAUCCACUUGGAUGGAGGAAUCAUGGUAUUAGGAAAGGUGAGGCCAGGUAGUGAUGGGAUUAUAUUAAUACAUAGGCCAUGGGCUUGUAUCUGGUUCUGUUGGUGGGAGAAGCCCCUGAAGAAGAAGCAUUUAAGCUGAGCCCUACAGACUGCACAGGUGCUCGCCAGGUAAAGCAGGAGUGGGAAGGGGGCAUGGUAGGUGGACCUAGAGACGGAACAGUGCAUCCAAAACCCGCAGGUGAGGAAGGGUGUGGUGUGCCAGUGAAUGGCUGGAUGUCCUGGAUAGGAGGGACUGGAUGAGAGAGCAAGGCCAGAGGAGGUUAGGAGGAGGGCAGAGACUGGAGCAGGCCUGGUCUUUAGAGGGCCUGUGAAUUGCGGCCAGGGUUCUGCCUGUCACUGUUGUCAAGCCCUUCGAAGUAGGAAAUGGCCUGAUGAGGUUUUCAGCUCACUUCAGACCCCAAGUCUUUUUCAUGCAUCCUCUUUGUAAGAAAUCCCAUUCCUUCUCCAACUCUUUUUCUAGGAUUGAGCCCUGAGUGUUUAUAUUCAAGUGAAGAGCUGUAUGUUUAUCCACAUUUUAGACUUCAUUGUGUGCAAUUAUGACAAUCUUUGUGGACACUCACAUUUGGAUUCUGAUUCUAUCCCCUGAUAUAUUGAUCUCUCUCCCAGCUCCACUCAGUUUUGCUAAGUCUUCUCAGGAUCAUUCCAGGUUGAUAUCCUCCUAUCCAGGACAUCCAGCCAUUUACUGGCAUACCACACCCUUCCUCACCUCUGGGGCAUUUUGGAAUUCCAGGUUGAGCUGGAUAGAACCCUAUGGCACUUCCCUACAAACUGUCUUCCUGGCUGCUGUAGAGCCAUUCAUGAGCUCACAUGGGUUCCUGUUUCAACCUCCCUUGCCUUUACCUAACUGUAGCAACCUCAGCCCUCCUGUCUUCUUCUUGCCACCAUUUGGGAGGCUACAGAGGAAACCAGGUCCACUGGCCGUGGGGCCAUUCCAGAGCUUGGCUUGGCAGUGUGCUGUGUUGCCCCUGGAGAUGGUGCCUUACCUCCACCGUAGAACUGCCUACAUCUCCUCUGAGUCAGGCUGCCAAAAUGGAGUACCAUAGACUGGGUAGCUUACAAACAAUGAACAUUUAUUUCCCCCAGUUCUGGAAGCUGGAAGUCUGAGACCAGGCAUGGUCAGGUUCUGGGGAGGGCUCCCUGUCUUCCAGGUUGCAGAUUGCUAUCUUCUUGUUGUAGCCUUACAUGAUGGCAAAAGUGAGAGAGCUCUCUGGUGCCCCUUUUAUAAGGGCACUAAUCCCAUCGUGAUGGCUCUACUGUUAGGGUCUAAUCCCCACUCAAUGGCCCUACCUUCCGGUACUAUUACUUUGGGGGUUAGGAUUUCAGCAUAUGAAUUUGAGGGUAGGUGCAAACAUUCAGCUCAUUGCAGGUCCCCUGCAUAGUCCUUUUUUGAGGAGCUUAGGAGAAAGAUGAUUUCCCAUAAUUUCCUGUCUGACUCUUGGCUGAGAAUGAAAUAGGCCCAGAUGACACCAUGGUUGCUACCGUUAGGAACAUGGAGGAAGCUUUUAGUGUGAAUGCCUGUGAAACUUAAUGAAACGUCCCCAAGAGGACUUGGCCUGAGUUUGGAAACCCUGGGUGUUUUGCUUUGUAAAACGCUGACUCAGUUGACAGAUGGCCCAAAUGCUUAUUUUGGUCAACACCUGAAAGCAAUUUGGGGCUUUCUUAUUAUUGCUCCAGAAAAUAGACUAAUUCCCACUCAACAAAUGUGGAGCUGGCCAGUAUGGGGCCCCCAUGUGCUCAUGCACUGGAGGCUGGUUCUGUUAUCAACCAUGCGUCCCUCUUGAGUUCCAGUCCCUGGUGGGGCUCCAGGUCUGUCCUGGUCCCAUUCAGAACUCCAGCUUUCAUUAGCCUGUCUGCUGUGUCCACUGAGCCUCUCUCAGUCUCCUGUGUUGUCACCUCUAGCGCAACUCUGGACUUGCUCUUGGGGCUCUGCCAUGGCCAUAGGAGAGCUUUUGGACAGACUGAGCCUGCCUCCUUCCCAGGAAGGACACAGCUCCCUUGGCAAGUACAGCAGGAGCAUCUGCUCUUGUUAAGACGCCAGGCUCCACUCACCUUCCUUCACUGCCUCGUCAUACUUUGUCCUGGUUGCAUCAGAACCAGGGAUCUUCCAUCCUUUCAUGUCUGGUUUAAGCCAGCUACAAAUUUCUGGAUUGCAACCACCAAUUCGAAUGCUUUACUGUUAAUAACAAUAGUAUUGGCACAACUAAGUUCAUGGAUUACACAGAAAUAGUUAUCAAGGCAGCCUAAUUGAGUGAAAAUGGGUAAUUGUAUAAAGCCAUGAAGACAUGGCCUUCUGAAGGUUGAAAAUUCAAAGCAAGCAUCACUUGGAUGGUGUGGUGUUGAAUCAGCUAAUUAUAGGGAUUUUGUAUCCGUGUUUGAUCAUUCAGAAAAAGUUUCUCUACACACACACACACACACACACACACACACACACGUGCGUGCGCAUGCGCAAAGCUCUAUCAAACAAGUUUCUCUUUGAACUUAAAAUUACUCUUGGGGGCAGGGAGGUUUCUGAAUCACAAAUGAAAAUUUGAACAUCAAAGAGAUUUUCUCCCUUCUUCUAAGGGAAGAAGAGCCUUUUCUUUCCAACUAUAUAAGAGGAGAACAAAUAUAUAGAUUUGAAAUUAAAAUUUCACCAGGGCAGUAAAAGAGUAGAAAACACAAAUUUCCUAUGUGUGGGCAAGUUCAAAUGUUGCUCUGAUGAGAUAAAAUGUAACCUUAGGAAAGAGACAUAAAGGGAGAGAGCACUCCUAGUUUUAAAGUCCAGGUCCAGGGCUACAGCACUAUUUCUUUCUGAGCAGACCACACUCAAAGGCUAAUGUAUCAUCAACUGUCUCAUAAAGAGAAAGGGUAAUGAAUAGCCCCAAACCAAUGAACUCUGAGCUUGCCUGAAAGUUUAUCCUUUAGAGGAGGACUGAUGAAAAGUGACUUUUAAGAAUGGCAGCAUUCUUUGAUAAACAAAAAUGUAUUUAGUCUAUGUAAAAGCAUUUGGGUUUGAAUGGAUCAUCAACUUCAAAAAGGAUAGUAGCAUUACAAAUGGAGGAAAUAUGUCCACUUUAUUAAUUAGUAAAAACAAUAACCGUGUUCUCAAUGUGUAUCUUUGAAAUUUCAUUUUGGCAAUCAUUUUUCACAGACCGUGCUGUACUUUUCUGUUUUGUUUUGUUCCUUAGUGUUUUGUGAUUUAAUGAAUGCCAAUAGCUAAAAUAGAAUAAUCUGUAGCUUAUAAAGUUCUCUCACACAUUGUUUCGUUUGGAUCUUAUAACAAUCUUGUAAGAUAGUGAGAUGUUAGCUCCCACAUUGUCAAAGAAAAAUGUAGUUAACUAAGAAAAACCUGCAGCUGACAUCAUGGUUAAGACGGGGACAAAGCUAGGUGUUUGUUCUCAUCCCUCCUAUUUAAGACAGGGAGGAAUCAUUAAUAACUAUGGACGGAGUUUCUGCAGAAUGCCACGAACUGUGCUGCAUGCUUUUUAGUAUUAUGUUUUGUUUAAUUCUCCUUACAAUGCCUCAGUGUAGGGACUUUUCCCCCUGUUUUACAGAUGAGGAAACAGCAGUUCAGAGAUAUUGUGACUUUGUCCAGAGUUGUACUGUGACUCUAGAUGAUAGCUGGAGCAUCCAAAAGAGAAAUGCUGUUCAAUGACUUGCACAAAGUGCUCUCUGCGUGUAUUAGAAAUUCAGAUACCAACACAGCACUAUUCACAAUAGCAAAUAUAUGGAACCAAUCAGUGAUGGAUUGGAUAAAGAAAAGGUGGUAUAUGUAUACCAUGGAAUACUAUAUAGCCAUUAAACGAAUGAUAUUAUGUCAUUUGCAGCAACAUGGUUGCAACUGGAGGGCAUUAGGCUAAGUGAAUUAACACGGGCACAGAAAACCAAAUAUGGCAUGUUCUCACUAGUAAGUGGGAGCUAACCACUGGGUACACAUGGACAUAGAGAUAGGAACAAUAGACACAGGGUUUCUAAAAGGGGGAAAAAAGGGAGGCAGGGAUUGAAAAACCAGCUGUUGGGUACUAUGUUCAAGUUCACAAUUCAGGUGAUGAUUCAGUAGAAGCCCAAACCUCAGCAUCAUUCAAUAUAUCCAUGUAACACACCUGCAUCUGUGCCCUUUGAAUCUGAAAUAAAACAAAUACAUUAAAAACAAAACAAAACAAAUUCAGAUGCAGAGAGGACCAUAACCAGCCUGUAUCUGAAGGUGGUGGGGCCAGAAUGUGAUUCCAAGCAUGCUGUGGUCUCCUUGCUUCCUUUCCACUUAUCAGUUGUAGACCAGACUGUUAGUAGGUCUUUUAAGUUUUCAAAAAUUUUGAAUCCUGCAUGCUAAAGAACUAUUUGUUUUUUUAGAAACAAAUCAUGAAAAUACAAGAAAAAUAGAAAGAAGAAAUAAAAGAUAAUUUCUUUCUUUUCCAGUGAAAAACAAAUUCCACCUGGGAAGUUAAAAAAAUCAGAUGCAGCACUGCUACUUCAAUGCCUUUUAAAUCUCUAAGGUCACUUUAAUCUAUUGUCUGCUGUUUCUCAUGAAAAUAUGUUGCCCAUUAAGUUAAAUAGACUGAGAUAGUUUAGUCAAGUGAGGUUUCACAUUUAGUAAUUGAUUUUCAUUUUCUGAGGUUGUAAAUUAAAUUUACAGCACUGGCAUAAAGUUGAGAGCAGAAGACUCCAUCCAAAGUUGAAUGAAAACAAAGGUACUGAAAUAUUGCAGGGCUGGGUGUGUUCCUGUGUGUUCCACCGUUUUAUCAUGAGCCGGGAAAUCCCACGGGGAUGUCCCCAGCCAGCCUAGCUUCACUCUCUGUUGACCUGGGUUGCUCUUUUUGCACCCACUCCAAGAUGGCUGGAGGGAGAGUAGCGGGGAAAAAGAGAGAAGGUAGGGUGUGUGGGAAAGGUUUCUACCUGCUGCCAGCACCAUUUCGAUACGUUUCUCCCGGGGGCCACAAGGGAGUCACAUGUGGAGGCAAGAGGAGUAUCCUACCCAGAAUGUUCAGGUAGAAAUGUCUGUGUGUAAAUAAGCUCAAUGGUUAAAGAUUUUCAACUAUGUCAGGUCAAGGGAGCAUACUAUAUUAUUCACAUAUGUAAUUCUAGUGGACUGGAAAGGCUUGUAUUAGGAGAAAGUGAGUCUCUUGGAUGUGCAUGAAGAGAUUUUGCAAAUCCCAACACAUUCUAGGAAUUAAUAUUUCCCAGGAUUUUUUGUUAAAUGAACUGGCUACUUAUUCUUUCAUUUUAUUAUCUUUCUUUAUUAGCAAACAGUGCAUUACCAUCUGUCAAAUGCUUAAGAACAUUUUCAAGAGACAAGCAUUACAUCUAAAAAAUUAUUAAUGUU